Long non-coding RNA from Lemur catta (Ring-tailed lemur), 695 nucleotides. RefSeq lists it as uncharacterized. The record is from RefSeq and is a predicted model, not a curated record. The transcript has 2 exons. Lineage: Eukaryota; Metazoa; Chordata; Mammalia; Primates; Lemuridae.
UCAACCGGAAGUGGCUCGUUUUGUCCUGGAUGUGGACGUUGUUUGCUGGACCUUGCGCUGCCUGGAGUUUCCUCCUCUCCGUGCUGUUACCAGCCUCGUAGUCGCGAGCGCGCCGGGUGUCGCAAGGUUCAGGCUUAACCUUCGGACUUUGUGCCAAAGUCUCGGGAGCGACUUGCCUAGAGCCUGGGGAGGGCACGGGCGGUGUGCAGGGGCAUUGCUCUCUGCGGCGCGUGCUUAUUAUUAGUUUUUGCUACUGUUGCACCGCAAGGGGGAAACGGAGUCACGGGAGCUGAUGGAAGUUACUCUGAACGCACCAAGGAUUUUUUUUUUUUUCUCCCAAUCUCCGGGUCCAGAAGAAAUCGGCAAGAGAGCCGGGGUUUUCCGGGGGCGUCAGCCUCGCUAACCCAAGCCUGCGGCCCAGCACUGUUUGUUGUAGACGAGAAGAGAAAGCUGCUCCGACCUGACCUCUGCAGCCCCGUCCUCAAGUGCUGCUUUAAAACUCAGUUUUUGUCAGCAGUUGGCCUUCAAGUCGGACAUAAGGCAUGGUUUAGUGGACGCCCAGUCCAGUGGAUACGAAGAUGCUCUUAGGGACUAAAGAGACACAUCGAUUUUUAGCCUGUUUUAAUUAAACCUAGAGAGAUUGUUAUAGUUUAGAAAAUUGUCAUUAAUGAUAAAAAUGUCCUUUGAACUACUCA